GACGAACGCUGGCGGCGUGCCUAAUACAUGCAAGUAGAACGCUGAAGGAGGAGCUUGCUUCUCCGGAUGAGUUGCGAACGGGUGAGUAACGCGUAGGUAACCUGCCUGGUAGCGGGGGAUAACUAUUGGAAACGAUAGCUAAUACCGCAUAACAGUAGAUAUUGCAUGAUAUCUGCUUGAAAGGUGCAAUUGCAUCACUACCAGAUGGACCUGCGUUGUAUUAGCUAGUUGGCGAGGUAACGGCUCACCAAGGCGACGAUACAUAGCCGACCUGAGAGGGUGAUCGGCCACACUGGGACUGAGACACGGCCCAGACUCCUACGGGAGGCAGCAGUAGGGAAUCUUCGGCAAUGGACGGAAGUCUGACCGAGCAACGCCGCGUGAGUGAAGAAGGUUUUCGGAUCGUAAAGCUCUGUUGUAAGAGAAGAACGAGUGUGAGAGUGGAAAGUUCACACUGUGACGGUAUCUUACCAGAAAGGGACGGCUAACUACGUG
RNAcentral lists this ribosomal RNA (495 nucleotides) under uncultured bacterium. RNAcentral's name for it is "partial 16S ribosomal RNA". It matches the Rfam family "Bacterial small subunit ribosomal RNA", at positions 28 to 507 of the family's 1533-position model. The record is from RNAcentral.